This is a long non-coding RNA of Acanthochromis polyacanthus (spiny chromis), 234 nucleotides long. RefSeq lists it as uncharacterized. The transcript is spliced from 3 exons. Lineage: Eukaryota; Metazoa; Chordata; Actinopteri; Pomacentridae. The record is from RefSeq and is a predicted model, not a curated record.
GAGACAGCUCGUCAUGCUGAGGAACGGCACGUACAGAAGCAUGUACCAGGGAGAGGAGGUGAGGCUGCGCAGCGGGAGUCAGGCUCGGGAGAGGAAACACCUUGCUCUGUGCAUCACUAACCAGCUCUUCUGAUCGGGCAUUUCCUCAGGCUGAUCGGCAAGUGGAAGCUGCAGCUAAACAGCAUAGUUGUUUGAGCGCAUCACCUCGCUGCAAUCAAAUCCUCUGAGAUCAGG